GAUGAAGAACGUAGCGAAAUGCGAUAAGUAAUGUGAAUUGCAGAAUUCAGUGAAUCAUCGAAUCUUUGAACGCAUCUUGCGCUCCUUGGUAUUCUGAGGAGCAUGCCUGUUUGAGUGUCAUUAAAUUCUCAACUACACUGACUUUGAAUUGGUGUGGCUUGGAUUUGGGGGGAAAAUUGUUGUGGGCUUUUUGUAUAGUCUGCUCCCCUGAAAUUGAUUAGCGGUACCCUUGUGGAACUGUCUACAGGUGUGAUAAUUAUCUACAUCUUAGACAUCUGCUGGAAUGCUGCUUUCUAAACCUUACUUGUAUUGACAAUCUUGACCUCAAAUCAGGUAGGACUACCCGCUGAACUUAAGCAUAUCAAUAAGCGGAGGA
This 376-nucleotide unclassified non-coding RNA is filed under the name soil metagenome. RNAcentral's name for it is "partial contains 5.8S ribosomal RNA, internal transcribed spacer 2, and large subunit ribosomal RNA". The stretch from base 1 to 120 matches the Rfam family "5.8S ribosomal RNA", at positions 35 to 154 of the family's 154-position model. The record is from RNAcentral.